This 409-nucleotide ribosomal RNA is filed under the name bacterium. Its description in RNAcentral is "partial 16S ribosomal RNA". It matches the Rfam family "Bacterial small subunit ribosomal RNA", at positions 355 to 776 of the family's 1533-position model. The record is from RNAcentral.
UGGGGAAUAUUGCACAAUGGGCGAAAGCCUGAUGCAGCGACGCCGCGUGAGGGAUGACGGCCUUCGGGUUGUAAACCUCUUUCAGCAGGGACGAAGCGCAAGUGACGGUACCUGCAGAAGAAGCACCGGCUAACUACGUGCCAGCAGCCGCGGUAAUACGUAGGGUGCAAGCGUUGUCCGGAAUUACUGGGCGUAAAGAGUUCGUAGGCGGUUUGUCGCGUCGUUUGUGAAAACCAGCAGCUCAACUGCUGGCUUGCAGGCGAUACGGGCAGACUUGAGUACUGCAGGGGAGACUGGAAGUCCUGGUGUAGCGGUGAAAUGCGCAGAUAUCAGGAGGAACACCGGUGGCGAAGGCGGGUCUCUGGGCAGUAACUGACGCUGAGGAACGAAAGCGUGGGUAGCGAGCAGG